UGGGGAAUAUUGCACAAUGGGGGAAACCCUGAUGCAGCGACGCCGCGUGAACGAAGAAGGUAUUCGUAUCGUAAAGUUCUGUCCUAUGGGAAGAUAAUGACAGUACCAUAGAAGAAAGCUCCGGCUAAAUUCGUGCCAGCAGCCGCGGUAAUACGUAUGGAGCGAGCGUUGUCCGGAAUUAUUGGGCGUAAAGGGUACGCAGGCGGUUUAAUAAGUCGAAUGUUAAAGAUCGGGGCUCCACCCCGUAAAGCAUUGGAAACUGAUAAACUUGAGUUGUGGAGAGGGAAGUGGAAUUCCUAGUGUAGUGGGGAAAUACGUAGAUAUUAGGAGGAAUACCAGUGGCGAAGGCGACUUUCUGGACACAAACUGACGCUGAGGUACGAAAGCGGGGGGAGCAAAAAGG
This 403-nucleotide ribosomal RNA is filed under the name Actinomycetes bacterium. RNAcentral's name for it is "Actinobacteria bacterium partial 16S ribosomal RNA". It matches the Rfam family "Bacterial small subunit ribosomal RNA", at positions 355 to 776 of the family's 1533-position model. Lineage: Bacteria; Bacillati; Actinomycetota; Actinomycetes. The record is from RNAcentral.